AGGCAAAAUAUCAUGAGUGC
This 20-nucleotide non-coding RNA is filed under the name Rattus norvegicus (Norway rat). Lineage: Eukaryota; Metazoa; Chordata; Mammalia; Rodentia; Muridae. The record is from RNAcentral.